RNAcentral lists this ribosomal RNA (437 nucleotides) under Anaplasma phagocytophilum. Its description in RNAcentral is "bacterial SSU rRNA". It matches the Rfam family "Bacterial small subunit ribosomal RNA", at positions 29 to 493 of the family's 1533-position model. Lineage: Bacteria; Pseudomonadati; Pseudomonadota; Alphaproteobacteria; Rickettsiales; Anaplasmataceae. The record is from RNAcentral.
AACGAACGCUGGCGGCAAGCUUAACACAUGCAAGUCGAACGGACCAUACACGCAGCUUGCUGCGUGUAUGGUUAGUGGCAGACGGGUGAGUAAUGCAUAGGAAUCUACCUAGUAGUAUGGGAUAGCCACUAGAAAUGGUGGGUAAUACUGUAUAAUCCCUGCGGGGGAAAGAUUUAUCGCUAUUAGAUGAGCCUAUGUCAGAUUAGCUAGUUGGUGGGGUAAUGGCCUACCAAGGCGGUGAUCUGUAGCUGGUCUGAGAGGAUGAUCAGCCACACUGGAACUGAGACACGGUCCAGACUCCUACGGGAGGCAGCAGUGGGGAAUAUUGGACAAUGGGCGCAAGCCUGAUCCAGCUAUGCCGCGUGAGUGAGGAAGGCCUUAGGGUUGUAAAACUCUCUCAGUAGGGAAGAUAAUGACGGUACCUACAGAAGAAGUCC